Molecule: ribosomal RNA, 479 nt
Filed under: uncultured bacterium
Lineage: Bacteria
Description: bacterial SSU rRNA
Rfam family: Bacterial small subunit ribosomal RNA
Source: RNAcentral
CAGGACGACGCUGGCGGCACGCUUAACACAUGCAAGUCGAACGGAGUUGUUGGAGCUUGCUCUGAACAACUUAGUGGCGGACGGGUGAGUAACACGUGAGCAACCUGCCUUUGAGAGUGGAAUAGCUUCUGGAAACGGAUGGUAAUACCGCAUAACAUUAACGGACCGCAUGAUCUGUUAAUCAAAGAUUUAUCGCUCAAAGAUGGGCUCGCGGCUGAUUAGAUAGUUGGUGGGGUAACGGCCUACCAAGUCGACGAUCAGUAGCCGGACUGAGAGGUUGAACGGCCACAUUGGGACUGAGACACGGCCCAGACUCCUACGGGAGGCAGCAGUGGGGAAUAUUGCACAAUGGGCGGAAGCCUGAAUGCAGCGAUGCCGCGUGGAGGAAGAAGGUUUUCGGAUUGUAAACUCCUUUUAUCAGGGACGAUAAUGACGGUACCUGAAGAAAAAGCUCCGGCUAACUACGUGCCAGCCGCUGC